GCCGCAGUAGCUCAGUCGGUAGAGCAACGCACUCGUAACGCGUAGGUCACCAGUUCGAUUCCGGUCUGCGGCA
Molecule: transfer RNA, 73 nt
Filed under: Ferrovum sp. PN-J185
Lineage: Bacteria; Pseudomonadati; Pseudomonadota; Betaproteobacteria; Ferrovales; Ferrovaceae
Rfam family: tRNA
About the family: Transfer RNA (tRNA) molecules are approximately 80 nucleotides in length.
Source: Rfam by way of RNAcentral